This 497-nucleotide ribosomal RNA is filed under the name uncultured bacterium. RNAcentral describes it as "partial 16S ribosomal RNA". It matches the Rfam family "Bacterial small subunit ribosomal RNA", at positions 28 to 507 of the family's 1533-position model. The record is from RNAcentral.
GAUGAACGCUGGCGGCGUGCCUAAUACAUGCAAGUCGAGCGAACAGACGAGGAGCUUGCUCCUCUGACGUUAGCGGCGGACGGGUGAGUAACACGUGGAUAACCUACCUAUAAGACUGGGAUAACUUCGGGAAACCGGAGCUAAUACCGGAUAAUAUAUUGAACCGCAUGGUUCAAUAGUGAAAGACGGUUUUGCUGUCACUUAUAGAUGGAUCCGCGCCGCAUUAGCUAGUUGGUAAGGUAACGGCUUACCAAGGCAACGAUGCGUAGCCGACCUGAGAGGGUGAUCGGCCACACGGGAACUGAGACACGGUCCAGACUCCUACGGGAGGCAGCAGUAGGGAAUCUUCCGCAAUGGGCGAAAGCCUGACGGAGCAACGCCGCGUGAGUGAUGAAGGUCUUCGGGUCGUAAAACUCUGUUAUUAGGGAAGAACAAAUGUGUAAGUAACUAUGCACGUCUUGACGGUACCUAAUCAGAAAGCCACGGCUAACUACGUG